GCGGGAUUAGCUCAUAUGGUAGAGCACCGCCUUCCCAAGGCGGGUGUGGCGAGUUCGAGCCUCGUAUCCCGCU
Molecule: transfer RNA, 73 nt
Filed under: Ruminococcus sp.
Lineage: Bacteria; Bacillati; Bacillota; Clostridia; Eubacteriales; Oscillospiraceae
Description: tRNA-Gly
Rfam family: tRNA
About the family: Transfer RNA (tRNA) molecules are approximately 80 nucleotides in length. Their secondary structure includes four short double-helical elements and three loops (D, anti-codon, and T loops).
Source: RNAcentral